GAUCAUGGCUCAGGAUGAACGCUGGCGGCGCGCCUAACACAUGCAAGUCGAACGGCACCCACCUUCGGGUGGAAGCGAGUGGCGAACGGCUGAGUAACACGUGGAGAACCUGCCCCCUCCCCCCGGGAUAGCCGCCCGAAAGGACGGGUAAUACCGGAUACCCCGGGUGCCGCAUGGCACCCCGGCUAAAGCCCCGACGGGAGGGGAUGGCUCCGCGGCCCAUCAGGUAGACGGCGGGGUGACGGCCCACCGUGCCGACAACGGGUAGCCGGGUUGAG
This 278-nucleotide ribosomal RNA is filed under the name uncultured bacterium. RNAcentral describes it as "partial 16S ribosomal RNA". It matches the Rfam family "Bacterial small subunit ribosomal RNA", at positions 15 to 296 of the family's 1533-position model. The record is from RNAcentral.